This is a long non-coding RNA of Leguminivora glycinivorella, 718 nucleotides long. RefSeq lists it as uncharacterized. The transcript is spliced from 2 exons. The record is from RefSeq and is a predicted model, not a curated record. Lineage: Eukaryota; Metazoa; Arthropoda; Insecta; Lepidoptera; Tortricidae.
UCAUAUUUUUUAUUGCAAUAUUUUUAAUUUUCAUAAAAUUUUAAGUCAAACUUGCUGAGCAUAAUUGUCUUUAGUUCGAUGUAUUACUAUGGAUAGUAUUAAUAUUAUAUACAAAAAUGAAGUCAUAUAUUUAGAAAUCAUAAUACUUUUCAUUUACAUUAAGUGUUAAGGCGCGAAUUUAAUGUAUAAUAAUAAGUAUAGUAACACAAAUCUCAUGUGACAGAGUCCAGUUAGGUGCGACGACGAGCGAAGCGAGCCUCUUGGCAUCUUGAGGAGCGUAUUAGGUUGACCGUGAGCAAACCGGAAAUAGUUUUUUAAUGUAAUAAAAAACAUUUGUUCUAUUUAGACAAAUAACACCUUUCUUUCUCUCAAAUUUACUUUUCAGAGACUAUGGAAAAGAAGGUUUUUUUCUGAGAUCUUCAUAUGUUUCAUUUAUAAUUGUUUUAAGAUGCGAAUUUAAUUCAGUAAUAAAUAUAGUAAAACAAAUCUUAUGUGACAGAGUCCAGUUAGGUGCGACGACGAGCGAAGCGAGGAGGAGCGUGUUAGGUUGAACGUGAGCAAACCGAAAACAACUUUCUAUUGUAAUAAAAAACAAAUUGAAAAACCUUCCUAUCCCUCAAAUGUAGUUUUUAGAGACUGAUGUUUCAAGUUGAUGAAUGUUGCACGAAGAGUUAGUAAACUAUGUAUUAUGGCUGAUAAUAAAUAUGCUAGAAAUCGU